Molecule: long non-coding RNA, 709 nt
Organism: Chenopodium quinoa (quinoa)
Lineage: Eukaryota; Viridiplantae; Streptophyta; Magnoliopsida; Caryophyllales; Amaranthaceae
Exons: 3
Source: RefSeq, a predicted model, not a curated record
UUGAGUAACAUUUUUUGUAGCACUUUAAUAUUAGAUAAUACUUUAUUGUAACACUUUAAUAUUAGGUAUCACUUGGUUGUAAUACUUAAUUUUUAUUUUUUUUUUUUUGGAAGGAAAACACUUAUUUUGAUACUUCGUAUUCUUUUUUUCCUUGUCAAUUAUUUUUACUGUAUCAAAAUCGACCCUCAUAGCCUCACAAGUCACAACUUUUUUCUCCCUUGUAUUUCUCCAUCCCUCAAGCUUUCACCGUCUCUUUACGCUGCAUCUCCUAUCCUCGGCUUCCACCGCCACCACCUUCUCGCUUCCGGUGCUCCACUAUAGUCCACGUCCACUAUAGACUCCCUCCAUUCCAACCUGUGCUCCAACUCAAAGACAUACACAACAGCCCGUGCUCCAAGUUGAAGAGACGACAAUUGCCACCUACUGGCCUUCAUCCUCGGCGGCUUCCACCUAAAGUUUGGGUGGUUAGUCAGGUGCUCAGGUGCUCUUUAUGUGCUCAGGUGCUUGAAUCUACAGUAAAGUCUCAGAUAGGUGAUGGCGAUCAGACAACGUGAACUAUGUGCUGCAUUGGGAACGAUGGGCGGUGAUCUCCUAGUUUAAUUUAGUAAACAUAGUAUUAGUGUUGUUACAUCUUUGGAAGUAUUUCAAAACUAUUACUAUUACUAUUAUUAUUACUAAUAAAAGAUAAUUAUUGUUUUCCGCUGCAAAA